RNAcentral lists this ribosomal RNA (278 nucleotides) under uncultured bacterium. RNAcentral's name for it is "partial 16S ribosomal RNA". It matches the Rfam family "Bacterial small subunit ribosomal RNA", at positions 29 to 334 of the family's 1533-position model. The record is from RNAcentral.
AACGAACGCUGGCGGCAGGCCUAACACAUGCAAGUCGAACGGGAUCUUCGGAUCUAGUGGCAGACGGGUGAGUAACACGUGGGAAUCUACCCAGUACUACGGGAUAACACAGAGAAAUUUGUGCUAAUACCGUAUACGCCCUUCGGGGGAAAGAUUUAUCGGUAUUGGAUGAGCCCGCGUUUGAUUAGCUAGUUGGUGAGGUAAUGGCUCACCAAGGCGACGAUCAAUAGCUGGUCUGAGAGGAUGAUCAGCCACACUGGGACUGAGACACGGCCCAG